AUUGAACGCUGGCGGCAUGCUUUACACAUGCAAGUCGAACGGUAACAGGUUAAGCUGACGAGUGGCGAACGGGUGAGUAAUGCAUCGGAACGUGCCCGGUCGUGGGGGAUAACACUUCGAAAGAAGUGCUAAUACCGCAUACGAUCUGAGGAUGAAAGCGGGGGACCGUAAGGCCUCGCGCGAUCGGAGCGGCCGAUGUCAGAUUAGGUAGUUGGUGGGGUAAAGGCUCACCAAGCCGACGAUCUGUAGCUGGUCUGAGAGGACGACCAGCCACACUGGUACUGAGACACGGCCCAGAGUCCUACGGGAGGCAGCAGUGGGGAAUUUUGGACAAUGGGCGCAAGCCUGAUCCAGCAAUGCCGCGUGCAGGAAGAAGGCCUUCGGGUUGUAAACUGCUUUUGUACGGAGCGAAAAGGCUCUCUCUAAUACAGGGGGCUCAUGACGGUACCGUAAGAAUAAGCACCGGCUAACUACGUGCCAGCCGCCGCCGUAA
This 493-nucleotide ribosomal RNA is filed under the name uncultured bacterium. RNAcentral describes it as "partial 16S ribosomal RNA". It matches the Rfam family "Bacterial small subunit ribosomal RNA", at positions 30 to 523 of the family's 1533-position model. The record is from RNAcentral.